RNAcentral lists this ribosomal RNA (226 nucleotides) under uncultured bacterium. Its description in RNAcentral is "partial 16S ribosomal RNA". It matches the Rfam family "Bacterial small subunit ribosomal RNA", at positions 124 to 334 of the family's 1533-position model. The record is from RNAcentral.
CCUAACCCUUCAGAGGGGGACAACAGUUGGAAACGACUGCUAAUACCGCAUACGAUCCAAUCUCGGCAUCGAGACUGGAUGAAAGGUGGCCUCUAUUUAUAAGCUAUCACUGAAGGAGGGGAUUGCGUCUGAUUAGCUAGUUGGAGGGGUAACGGCCCACCAAGGCGAUGAUCAGUAGCCGGUCUGAGAGGAUGAACGGCCACAUUGGGACUGAGACACGGCCCAG